CCCAAAACACCUAGCUACGCCACACCCACACGGGAAUUCAGCAGUGAUUAACAUUGAAAAUAAGCGACAGCUUGAUUCAGUUAAAGUAAAAAGAGCCGGCUAAUCCGGUGCCAGCCGCCGCGGCUACACCACGAGGCUCAAAUUGAUACCCUUCGGCGUAAAGCGUGUUUAAAGUCAUUAAUAAUUUAUAGCUAAACUAAAACUAAGCUGUGAUAAGCUUGUACUUAGGAAGACCAAAACGAAAGUUGCUAUAAUUAAAACAACUUGAAUCCACGACAGUUAGGGCACAAACUGGGAUUAGAUACCUCACUAUGCUUAACCGUAAACUUUAAAUUACCCCCCCAUCGCCCGGGAACUACGAGCAAAGCUUAAAACCCAAAGGACUUGACGGUACCCCACAUCCACCUAGAGGAGCCUGUCCUAUAAUCGAUAAUCCCCGUUCUACCUCACCACUUUUAGCUUAUCAGCCUGUAUACUUCCGUCGCCAGCUUACCCCGUGAGUGACCCUCAGUAAGCUGCUUACCCAUACGCCAAUACGUCAGGUCAAGGUGCAGCAAAUAAAGUGGAAAGAGAUGGGCUACACUCUCUAAUCUAGAAUAUACAGAAGACUAUAUAUGAAACCUAGUCAGAAGGCGGAUUUAGUAGUAAAAAGAGACAAGAGUGCUCUUUUUAAUAUGGCACUGGGGUGUGUACAGACCGCCCGUCACUCUCUUCAAAGCUAAUAUAUAGUUCUUAACACACUUAAGCAUUAAAGAAGAGAUAAGUCGUAACAUGGUAAGUAUACCGGAAGGUGUUCUUGGAAA
This 803-nucleotide ribosomal RNA is filed under the name Osteocephalus deridens. RNAcentral describes it as "partial 12S ribosomal RNA". It matches the Rfam family "Bacterial small subunit ribosomal RNA", at positions 330 to 1522 of the family's 1533-position model. The record is from RNAcentral. Lineage: Eukaryota; Metazoa; Chordata; Amphibia; Anura; Hylidae.